GAUCUCGAACCCUGGCCCCAAGUGACUCCCAAAGUGCUGGGAUUACUGGUGUGAGCCACCACACCGGGCCUCCUUAGUGGAUUUUGAUAUCAGAGUUAUGAUAGCAUCAUCGAACGAGUUAGAGAAAAUACUCCCUUUUUCUGUUUUCUGAAAGGGUUUGUAUUAUUGGUCUCAUUUCUCCCUUGAAUGUUCAUAGAACUUGCUGGUAGAGUCUGGGCCUAUAGUUUUCCUUUUGGGAAGAUUUUUGGGAAAAACUGAAUGCUUGUAGGGUGAAUUAGUUACUAUUGGCUUCAUUUGGUAAUUUACAGCAAUAAAGAGAUGAGCUCAAAAAAGAAUUGGCUUAUUUGCAAGUAGAAAAGGAAUUUAAUUAUUUAAUUUGAAAGGAAAUUAAGAGAGCACAGAAAUUCAGUACUUGCAGGUUUGGAAGAUACAAGUGAUUCUCAUUUCCAGAUGGUAAAAGAGAAAACUGAGAAGGCCUUUGAAUAUUAAAGUCUGAUUAAAAAUGCUUAGCUGCUUAAGCAAGGAUCCCUUGAGGAUGUGACCAUACAGUCAUUGUUAAAAACCUCUGGAUGAGUUAAAGUAGUGUUUAUUAAGUCCUUUUAGCUUGACAAAAUGGUCAAGUAAAAGAAAAUAAGAAUGCUAUCAAACCUGAUAGGUUUAAGUAUCUGAACUAACUUAAAUGAGGGAGAAUUGUUUUCAAAAGAAUUGUAGGUAUGGCUAUUACUACAGGCAGCGGACUAAACCAAAAUAAAUAAAAAGUCAAGUAUGUUUUUGAAAAAGAACUUUACUUCAAAAAUACCACAGCCUGGACUAAAAUCGUCUAUGACUGUUGGCCCCCAAUUUCUAUAGGAAGGAAGCAUAAAAAGAAAGCUGCUCAGUUCCUAAGAAAGACAUAUUUUCCAGUGCCUUCUUCAGCACGACCAAGGAGGAUAAUUGAAAAGGAAUGACAUCCUGCCAGAGAGAAGACCAAGGGCCAGGGUGAACAAUGGGUUGAGGAGCCCAUUAGUAUUAGCGAAAUCAAGGGCUAUUCAAGAAAUAUUCCCCCUCCCCAGAGUAGGAACUCCUUGUAAUCAUCUGCCCAGUGAGAUUUUAGAAUUGCAUUUUCCAUCCUUCUCUUUUCCAAAUGGGAGGGUUUAUUGGAAUUAUUCUGACCCUGUUUCACUAUUGUAUAUUGUAUAUGUAUUGGGGUGGGUGGAACAAAUAACUGUUGUUAUAAAUUCAUAGGUGUCUAGGUGAAAAUCAACCUCAUCUGGACCUGAUGUAGAGAUUAAGGUAUUAGAUCUUCGACUUAGAGCUCAAGUCAGUGACUUUAUGGAACUUUAAAAGUUUUUUUCCUUGGGGAGGAGGUAAGUAUAUUUGUAUGUGAGAGGGUACAGAAUCUGACAGAAAAUUGAGCAGAGCUAAAGGGAGAAUUAGAGAACUAGAGGAUAGCUCAGAAGAUAUUAUCCAGAAUGCUUUGAAAAGAGACAAAAGGAUGGAAACUAUGGAAGAGAAAUUAGAUAUAUGAAGGAAAAACUAAGAGAAUUUAUCAUUCAUUUAGUUGGAGUUACAUAAGGAAAGGAGAGCAAGAAUGGGGCAGAGGCAGUAUUUGAAGAUGAAAUGGUUGCAAAUAUUUCAGAAUGAAUUAAAGAAGCCCAAUAACCCCAAAUAGGAUAAAUAAGAAGAAAUCUAUCCAAGAUACAUUCUAGAAACUGCAGCAAAUAACAGGCAAAGAGAAAAAUAUUAGAAACACCAGAGGGUAAAAGUAGAUUACUUUCAAAAGAGCAACAGUUGUACUAUCACUUGGCUGCUUAACAGCAAAAAUAGAAGCCAGGUGACAUGGACUGGUACCUUAAAAGGGCUGACAAAAUAGCUGCCAAUCUAGAACUUAUACUAAACAAAAAGUAUCUUUCAAGAAUGAGGGCAAAAGAGACAUUUUUCAGAAAAACAAAAGCUGAGAGAAUUCAUCUCUAGCUCAUUACAGGAAAUUCUAAAGGAUGCAUACUUCAGACAGAAGGAAAGUGAUCCCAGAGGCAAGACCUGAGAUCCAAGAAGGAAAGAAGAGCAGAGAAAGUGGAAAACAUAUGGGCAAACCUAAACAAAGACCUAUUGUAUAAAACAGUGACAAUAAUGUCCUGAAAAUGCAUCAAAGUAAAAGAAGAAAAUUUGCAACAACAGUCAUCCAUAAAUCUACCACCUGGAUAGAAUCCCUGAACCAUUAUGGCAUAUUUUCUGACAGUGCUAUAUAAUGUGUUUCUUUGUUAUGAAGAUUUUCAAACAUACAAAAGUUAAAAGUGUACGAGGGUUCCCUUUACUCCACAUCCUUGCCAACAUUUGU
RNAcentral lists this long non-coding RNA (2317 nucleotides) under Homo sapiens (human). RNAcentral's name for it is "HSALNT0329730". Lineage: Eukaryota; Metazoa; Chordata; Mammalia; Primates; Hominidae. The record is from RNAcentral.